AUGGUGUCUCCUUCGUCUACCUUCGUCCGGCGUUUGUGGCGCCGAAAGGCUGCCCAGCGUGUGUCGCCGGGGAGGAUUGGUCCGGGGUUUGUCCCAACAAUGGCCUGGGUGGAGAUGACCAUUCAUUCUCCUCCAGCAGCCUGCGGUCAAGAUCGUGCGGGUUCGGAGCGAAGCUUCCUCCGGCUACUCCAGCUGUCCCGUACGUUGAGCACGGCAGCGUCGGUGAUAAGGGUCAUCUGCCUUCUUUGGUGCACUGUGUCCCAAGCAGGAAGCGACCCAAGACGCUCGCCGCUAUUCCCGUCGGCAGAUCACAAGGCCGAAGGAGGUUGGUGGCGGCGCCAGGUGGUUCGUCCGAUCGAUGCGUGGGGGCAAUUUUCGUCUUGA
Molecule: ribosomal RNA, 384 nt
Filed under: Triticum aestivum (bread wheat)
Lineage: Eukaryota; Viridiplantae; Streptophyta; Magnoliopsida; Poales; Poaceae
Description: partial small subunit ribosomal RNA
Source: RNAcentral